AGCGAACGCUGGCGGCAGGCCUAACACAUGCAAGUCGAACGAACCUUUCGGGGUUAGUGGCGGACGGGUGAGUAACACGUGGGAACGUGCCUUUAGGUUCGGAAUAACUCAGGGAAACUUGUGCUAAUACCGAAUGUGCCCUUCGGGGGAAAGAUUUAUCGCCUUUAGAGCGGCCCGCGUCUGAUUAGCUAGUUGGUUGAGGUAAUGGCUCACCAAGGCGACGAUCAGUAGCUGGUCGGAGAGGAUGAUUAGCCACAUUGGGACUGAGACACGGCCCAAACUCCUACGGGAGGCAGCAGUGGGGAAUCUUGCGCAAUGGGCGAAAGCCUGACGCAGCCAUGCCGCGGGAAUGAGGAAGGUCUUAGGAUUGUAAAAUUCUUUCACCGGGGACGAUAAUGACGGUACCCGGAGAAGAAGCCCCGGCUAACUUCGUG
Molecule: ribosomal RNA, 434 nt
Filed under: uncultured bacterium
Lineage: Bacteria
Description: partial 16S ribosomal RNA
Rfam family: Bacterial small subunit ribosomal RNA
Source: RNAcentral